GAUGAACGCUGGCGGCGUGCCUAAUACAUGCAAGUCGAGCGAACAGACGAGGAGCUUGCUCCUCUGACGUUAGCGGCGGACGGGUGAGUAACACAUGGAUAACCUACCUAUAAUACUGGGAUGACUUCGGGAGGCCACAGCUAAUAACAGAUCAUAUAUUCAACCGCAUGGAUCAAUAGUGAAAGACGGUUUUGCUGUCACUUAUAGAUGGAUCCGCGCCGCAUUAGCUAGUUGGUAAGGUAACGGCUUACCAAGGCAACGAUGCGUAGCCGACCUGAGAGGAUGAUCAGCCACACUGGAACUGAGACACGGUCCAGACUCCUACGGGAGGCAGCAGUGGGGAAUAUUGCGCAAUGGGCGAAAGCCUGAUCCAGCCAUACCGCGUGGGUGAAGAAGGCCUUCGGGUUGUAAAGCCCUGUUAUUGGGAAAGAAAAGCAGCAGGUGAAAACCCGGCUGUUCUGACGGUACCCAAAGAAUAAGCACCGGCUAACUUCGUG
RNAcentral lists this ribosomal RNA (497 nucleotides) under uncultured bacterium. Its description in RNAcentral is "partial 16S ribosomal RNA". It matches the Rfam family "Bacterial small subunit ribosomal RNA", at positions 28 to 507 of the family's 1533-position model. The record is from RNAcentral.